Molecule: transfer RNA, 77 nt
Filed under: Prevotella sp.
Lineage: Bacteria; Pseudomonadati; Bacteroidota; Bacteroidia; Bacteroidales; Prevotellaceae
Also listed under: 5 other names
Description: tRNA-Arg
Rfam family: tRNA
About the family: Transfer RNA (tRNA) molecules are approximately 80 nucleotides in length. Their secondary structure includes four short double-helical elements and three loops (D, anti-codon, and T loops).
Source: RNAcentral
GGCCUCGUAGUUCAGCUGAAUAGAACGCAGGAUUCCGGUUCCUGAAGUCGUGGGUUUGAAUCCCGCCGGGGUCACAA